Molecule: small nucleolar RNA, 86 nt
Organism: Rosa chinensis
Lineage: Eukaryota; Viridiplantae; Streptophyta; Magnoliopsida; Rosales; Rosaceae
Product: small nucleolar RNA R11/Z151
Exons: 1
Source: RefSeq, a predicted model, not a curated record
GGGCUUAUGAUGAAAAUUUAAUCAUCUUAGCGGAUUUCCGUGAGAUCGUAGUGUCAAUGAUCUGAUUGUUACACACACUGAAGUAA